Molecule: long non-coding RNA, 164 nt
Organism: Macadamia integrifolia
Lineage: Eukaryota; Viridiplantae; Streptophyta; Magnoliopsida; Proteales; Proteaceae
Exons: 3
Source: RefSeq, a predicted model, not a curated record
AAGAAGAAACAGGAGCUCGCCCCCUUGUGAAAUCUCCUCUGCAGAGCAGGUAUUGGGACAAAUUUUAGGGUUUUUCUAGACCACCUAUACAGAGAGAUGACUUCUUCUAUGCCCCCACUCAUGAUAGCAACUUGUGAAAUUUGUGGGAAGAGUUGUGGUAAAUA